GCGUCCUUAGCUCAGUUGGUUAGAGCGCUGCCUUGACAUGGCAGAGGUCGGUAGUUCGAAUCUACUAGGACGCACCA
This 77-nucleotide transfer RNA is filed under the name Aliidiomarina maris. Its description in RNAcentral is "tRNA-Val". It matches the Rfam family "tRNA". From Rfam's summary of the family: Transfer RNA (tRNA) molecules are approximately 80 nucleotides in length. Their secondary structure includes four short double-helical elements and three loops (D, anti-codon, and T loops). RNAcentral also lists the same sequence under 1 other name. Lineage: Bacteria; Pseudomonadati; Pseudomonadota; Gammaproteobacteria; Alteromonadales; Idiomarinaceae. The record is from RNAcentral.